GCCCUGGUGGUGAAAUUGGUAGACACGCCAUCUUGAGGGGGUGGUGCCGAAAGGCAUAGCGGUUCGAGUCCGCUCCAGGGCACC
Molecule: transfer RNA, 84 nt
Filed under: Roseisolibacter agri
Lineage: Bacteria; Pseudomonadati; Gemmatimonadota; Gemmatimonadia; Gemmatimonadales; Gemmatimonadaceae
Description: tRNA-Leu
Source: RNAcentral